This 830-nucleotide long non-coding RNA is filed under the name Nicotiana benthamiana. RNAcentral's name for it is "long non-coding RNA (NBEN_LNC036511)". The record is from RNAcentral. Lineage: Eukaryota; Viridiplantae; Streptophyta; Magnoliopsida; Solanales; Solanaceae.
ACGUUUUAAUAAUAUAUUUUUGUGUGGUUUAGUUUGCAUAAUUAUAAUUAAUAUGGCAUUUUCUUUGAAAAAAUGUUUGGUAAAGGAAAAGGUAAAAACGGUGAAAGUAGUGGCUUUUGACAAGCUUCAUCUUUUUUAUGAUGGAUUUUUUUUCUUCUCAUUUUUGUACGCAUGUUUGUGAGGAUGGGAAUGUUGCAGAUUCAUUUGUAUGUGAUGAAUGAGUGAAUGUGAGAAAUGUGAUAGAAUUUCUUGAAAGAUUUCACGAGCUCACUGAAAAAGUUUCAGGCUCACGUUAUGUCACUCCCAAUUGUCAUUUUGAGGAUAUAUGUGAGCUUGAUAGUCAUUUGAAAUCUUGUUUAGCUAGUGAUGAUACUAAUUUGAGUAAGAUGGCAGAGAAAAUGAAUGAGAAGUUUAAAAAAUAUUUGGGUGAACCUGAAAAGAUGAAUAAAAUGAUUUUCAUUGCUUAUGUAGUAACAGAGAAAAUAAAAGAGAAGUUUAAAAAAUAUUUGGGGUGAACCUGAAAAUAUGAAUAAAAUGAUUUUCAUUGCUUCUGUGACCCUCAUAACAAAUUUGAGUAUGUUGGUUUUGCACUUGAUGAAAUGUUUGGGAAGGAACUAAGGAAAAAAUUAACUGCCGAAGUGGAUGCUUAUUUGAAUUCUUUGUUUGGAGAGUAUCAAAAGAAAUAUUCCAAAGGAUGUUGUCUUCAAUCAUCCCCUUCUAAAUUUACUUCAUUUGAUGACACGUCUGAUUCAUCUAAUGUGAAUGUGAUAACAAAAUCUGUGAGAAUAAAGCAAUUAUUGAAAAGGCAAAAGGAAGACUCCGGAAGUGUG